UGCAAGAUCGCGGUGCUGCAGCACAACCUCGUCCAGUCCAGUCGGCGGUCCAUGUCGCCGCACCUCCGCAUGUGCUCUGGCGGUUGUCAGCGACUGACAAUCGUACACACCCGUCGUGCUGUCGCCGCCGUUCGUCGAGUCGCCAUGGAAGGCCACGGAUAGUAGGAUCCUUCGACUGCAUGAACCGAAGCACGAACAUCACGCACAGGCACAGACAGCCAAAUCGCAGGCGACACACCGCGAACUCCUCUAGGCCGGGCAGCGCCGCAAUCACAUGUGAGUUGUGCCGACGCCCACCAGAACGGGCCACGUGCACCACUGCGACACACUAUGUGAGCCCAUCCAUGGCCUUGUGCUCCCGCCACAGUGUCGCCCAUGCGGCCGUGCCCCGCGCUGGUCGUCACCCUAGCUGGGGAGCGCGAGCUCUGAUGCCACGCCGCGCGCCACCGGGAGCUCACCAACCGCUGUCCGCCAGCGCCACCACUUCAGACCACACAGGCCGGAGGCCUCCCGCAACUGCAACCUCCAUUCGUUGUUGCGCCUGCAGCUAGCGACGUGCCUCCUGCCCCAGAUCGACGCCCAGGCAUAGAAGAAGACGCACACAAUAUAAAGAAGGGAAGAGGGCCUCGCCGGUGAAACUCACCUCGCAAAGACCUCCGCUCCGAAGGCCUCCCCGAGAAGACAGGCAAGAAUGUGAGACCGGAACACCUUUCGAAGGUACACGCCGGUCCGGCAGAACACCGGAAGCAGUAGCACGGCCCGAACCACCGCGCCGGCCAACUACAGCCCACCGCUAGCGAGGAGGCC
Molecule: long non-coding RNA, 807 nt
Filed under: Triticum aestivum (bread wheat)
Lineage: Eukaryota; Viridiplantae; Streptophyta; Magnoliopsida; Poales; Poaceae
Description: long non-coding RNA (TAES_LNC016979)
Source: RNAcentral